GGCCUUAGUAGGGAAUCUUCCGCAAUGGACGAAAGUCUGACGGAGCAACCCCGCGUGAACGAUGAAGGUCUUCGGAUCGUAAAGUUCUGUUGUCAGGGAAGAACAAGUACCGUGCGAAUAGAGCGGUACCUUGACGGUACCUGACGAGGAAGCCCCGGCUAACUACGUGCCACCAGCCGCGGUAAUACGUAGGGGGCAAGCGUUGUCCGGAAUUAUUGGGCGUAAAGCGCGCGCAGGCGGUUCCUUAAGUCUGAUGUGAAAGCCCACGGCUCAACCGUGGAGGGUCAUUGGAAACUGGGGAACUUGAGUACAGACUAGGAGAGUGGAAUUCCACGUGUAGCGGUGAAAUGCGUAGAUAUGUGGAGGAACACCCGUGGCGAAGGCGACUCUCUGGUCUGUAACUGACGCUGAUGCGCGAAAGCGUGCGCAGCACACAGGAUUAGAUACCCUGGUAGUCCACGCCGUAAACUAUGAGUGCUAGGUGUUAGCUGGCUUCCACACACUUAGUGCUGAAGUUAACGCAUUAAGCACUCCGCCUGGGCAGUACGGCCGCUAGGCUGAAACUAAAAGGAAUUGACGCGGGGCCCGCACUAGCGG
This 597-nucleotide ribosomal RNA is filed under the name Thalassobacillus devorans. Its description in RNAcentral is "bacterial SSU rRNA". It matches the Rfam family "Bacterial small subunit ribosomal RNA", at positions 347 to 932 of the family's 1533-position model. Lineage: Bacteria; Bacillati; Bacillota; Bacilli; Caryophanales; Bacillaceae. The record is from RNAcentral.